AAAUAUUGGGACAUAUAAAAAAAGACAACUCUGUUCUACAGAGUAGCUGUUGACAUUAUAGUUGCGCAGGAACUUUGUUGUCUCUAGAGAACCUUGGGCAAAUCGCACAUCCCUGUGGCAGCGACUUUGCAUGCGGAUGUCAUCCAUAUCAACUUUCAAUGUCAGUUUCUGCGCCUGCCAUGGUGACCAUGGGUAUUGGGAUAUCAGGGUUCCAUUCGGUACAGGAACCCUGAAAAACGGCUACCACAUGCAAGGAAGGCAACAGGCGCGCAAAUGACCCACUCCCAACGCGGGAAGGUAGUGAU
This is a non-coding RNA of Pelobates cultripes (western spadefoot toad), 305 nucleotides long. Lineage: Eukaryota; Metazoa; Chordata; Amphibia; Anura; Pelobatidae. The record is from the annotation of a GenBank genome assembly.